RNAcentral lists this ribosomal RNA (1653 nucleotides) under Triticum aestivum (bread wheat). Its description in RNAcentral is "partial small subunit ribosomal RNA". Lineage: Eukaryota; Viridiplantae; Streptophyta; Magnoliopsida; Poales; Poaceae. The record is from RNAcentral.
AUGGCCAGGGCCGCCGACUACUACUCUCUCCUCCAGAGCUGCAUGGGCUGCUUCCGGCAGGGCAGGUCCAUCCACCACAGGCUCCUCGCGUCCGCCUCUCCCCCGGACCUGCACCUCAGCACCAAGCUCGUCCUCUUCUACGCCAAGCACGGUGACGUGGCCGCCGCCCUCAGGGUGUUCGACGGAAUGCCGCACCGGAGCGUCGUGUCCUGGACGGCCAUGGUCUCGGGCUACUCCAGGAACGGCCGCCCCCGGGAGGCGCUGGAGCUGUUCGCCCUCAUGCACACGUCCGGCGAUGCCAGGCCGAACCAGUUCACGUAUGGCAGCGUGGCCUGUGCGUGCGCGGUGGCUGGGUGCGUCAGGAGCGGGGAGCAGGUGCAUGCAUGCACGGCCAAAGGGAGGUUUGCUGGGGACAUGUUCGUGCAGAGCGCUCUCAUGGACAUGUACCUGAGGUGCGGGUCGGUGGAGGAUGCGAGGCGGAUGUUUGCGGCGAUGGAGAGGAAGGAUGUGGUUUCGUGGAAUGCCUUGCUCAGGGGUUUUGUGGAGCGUGGGCAUUGCAGUGACGCGCUUGGGUUGUUAUCCUCAAUGCUGAGAGAAGAAAUGCUGCCUGACCAUUUCACGUUUGGAAGUGCUCUAAAAGCUUGUGGAGUAGUCAGUGUGCUCACUAACACGGAGCUGAUUCACACUUGCAUAAUAAAGUUGGGCUACUGGGGUGAAAAGGUUGUUAUUGGAUCACUUAUUGAUGCUUAUGCAAAAUGUCGGAGCAUGAAAAGUGCACGAGUGAUAUAUGACUCCAUAUGUGAACCAGACCUUGUGUCGUCUACUGCGCUGAUCAGUGGGUACUCCAUGGAUAAAAACCAUACUGAAGAUGCAAUGGAGCUCUUCUGCAAGAUUUAUCGUAGGGGUUUGAGGAUUGAUGGUGUUCUGUUAAGCUCCUUGCUUGGCAUUUGUGCUAAUGUGUCAUGUCUCAGAUUUGGGACACAAAUUCAUGCUUACAUGUGCAAAAAGCAGCCAAUGGGAGACGUGGCAUUGGACAACGCUCUAGUUGAUAUGUAUGCAAAGGCAGGCGAAUUUUCAGAUGCCAGGCGUGCUUUUGAUGAAAUGCCCUGCCGAAAUGUGGUCUCAUGGACUUCACUCAUUACUGCCUGUGGGAAAAAUGGUUUUGGGGGAGAUGCUGUGAGCCUUUUUGAGAGGAUGGUGGAGGAUGGUGUGAAGCCAAACGAUGUGACAUUCCUUUCUCUUCUGUCUGCUUGUGGUCAUUCUGGUCUGAUGAGCAAAGGGAUGGAGUAUUUCACUUCCAUGAUGGGCAAGUACGGUAUUGAUCCGAGAGCUGAGCAUUUCAGUUCUGCUAUCGACCUUCUUGGCCGUGGGGGUCAGUUAGAGGAUGCGUGGAAGCUAGUGGAGAAUGUGGAUACUGAACCCAACUCCUCAAUAUUGGGCGCUAUGCUUGGAGCUUGUAAAACGCAUGGAAACAUGCCUCUUGGAGAAACUGCAGCCAAGAAUCUUAUAAGUAAAGGUGCUGAGAGUUCUGUACACUAUACCAUGCUUGCAAACAUGUACGCAGAAUCUAAUUUAUGGGAGGAUGCUCAAAGUGCAAGGAAAUUAAUGGCUGAAACAUCUGGUGGCAAGGAAGCUGGUUGCAGUGUUCUCUGA